GGUUUGAUUCUGGCUCAUGAUUGAACGCUGGCGGGAUGUUUUCGACACAUGCAAGUCGAACGGCAGCACGGACUUCAGUCUGGUGGCGAGUGGCGAACGGGUGAGUAAUGUACUGGAACGUGCCUAGUAGCGGGGGAUAACUACGCGAAAGCGCGUAGCUGGUUACCGCAUGAACACCUCUUCGGGGGAAAGCGGGGACCUUCGGGCCUCGCACCUGAGUUAGAGCGGGCCGAUAUCGGAUUAGCUAGUUGGUGGGGUAACGGCUCACUAAGGCGACGAUCCGUAGCUGGUUUGAGAGGACGACCAGCCACACUGGGACCAGACACGGCCCAGACUCCUACGGGAGGCAGCAGUGGGGAAUUUUGGACAAUGGGGGGAAACCCCUGAUCCAGCCAUCGCGUGUGCGAUGAAGGCCUUCGGGUUGUAAAGCACUUUUUGGCAGGAAAGAAACGGCACGUAUUAAUACCUGCAACUGACGGUACCUGAGAAUAAGCACCGGCUAACUACGUGCCAGCAGCCGCGGUAAUAC
RNAcentral lists this unclassified non-coding RNA (529 nucleotides) under uncultured Bordetella sp. Its description in RNAcentral is "partial 16S-23S ribosomal RNA intergenic spacer". It matches the Rfam family "Bacterial small subunit ribosomal RNA", at positions 10 to 526 of the family's 1533-position model. Lineage: Bacteria; Pseudomonadati; Pseudomonadota; Betaproteobacteria; Burkholderiales; Alcaligenaceae. The record is from RNAcentral.